This 278-nucleotide long non-coding RNA is filed under the name Nicotiana benthamiana. RNAcentral's name for it is "long non-coding RNA (NBEN_LNC018782)". The record is from RNAcentral. Lineage: Eukaryota; Viridiplantae; Streptophyta; Magnoliopsida; Solanales; Solanaceae.
GGAGGGUAAUAUGUAGACAAGCUUUACCCCUACCCGAAAGGGCAGAGAGGCUGUUUCCAAUCGACCCCCGGCUCAUAGGAUAAAAGGAAAAACAACAAUAAAACAAAAACAAAGACAAAAACACAAACAAUAGAGCCUUAGUAACUCCAGUAGAAAUAGCGUAAAUAGCGUAAAUAAUUAUCUAAACAUACGGAACAUAAAUACAAUCGCACGCAAUAAUAUCAUACAGUAACUACCAUAACUAACAGCCAUAGGGGGACAUAAGCUAAAACACAAAU